GCAAGUUCUAAGUGAGAGCAAGGUAAUGAAUAAAAUAUCAGAGAAAGUAAAGGUGAAUAAUCCAAUGCAAUGAAGUAAUGUUUGCAGAUAUUUAAGGUGGAUAACUAUAUUUAGUUUGGUUUUCUGAUGAGAAGGUUCUUAAGUAUUAGUGUAAAAAAUGCUCUUAUAUUAUGAAAAUAAUGUCUAUGUUUUGUGCGACUUUUGCUAUAAUUAUGGUUACUAUUGUAUUUUGAAUAUGUUGCAUGCAUACGUAAUGGAUAUGCACAAUCUUGGAUCUUCUGUGCUCCGUCUGAGUAUGAUAUGGUCUUAUUUACCAUGACCACUAGUUUACUCAUGGCUUGAAAUAUUGCUAGAAGAUUGCCCAACUUGUAUUAAGAGUAAAACUUUGUACUGAAGUGUAUCAGAAAUCACGAGUUCUCUCUCUUGUUCGUUUUAACUUUCAUAUAGGUUAACUAUGAAGACUGUAUCUUUGCUCUGUAGUUUCCCAAAAGUAAGGAGGCUAUGAGUUUAUCUUCCAUGCAUUCGGCAGAAGCAAGAUGGAAUUUAUCAACCCAGAAAAAAAUACAGAGAUGGCUUGAUGGGCCUAAAUAUAUGGGAAAGAAGAAUGAAUAGAAGACGAAGGUAUCAUGUGUAACUUGAGGACAUGAGGAUGAUCCAUUUUGCACGUACUGGAGCAACGGUUAGCUUAUUUCUACUGUUAACAUCAUUGAUGGAAAUUUGGAUGAAAGUUGAUGUGACAACAGAUGUACACGUACCUAUGAAUUUGUGAUUGCUACUUUUUGUUCUAAACCUGUGCAAUAGCUUAACUGAAAAGGCGGGGUAACUGUUUAAAAACUGCACUGUGGGGAAACCUUCAUCCCAGUUAAUGCCAUUAAAAAAUAAUCAUCGUCAUCUCCUGACAAUGAUAGCCUUAGCAGUGUAAUUGCCUUCAGUUUUCUACCAAGAAUCGUAUAACUCACUGCAAACUGUUGUCGCAUAUAUUGAUAUAUAUAUCAACUUUUAUUUCACAAUCAGUCAUUGUCGUAGAAUCAAUCUCAGCUUGCUUGAGUGCUUUAUCAUAUGUUCUGGUCCAUCACCAAUUGUAUACAGUUCAUUGCUCAUUAUUUUAUAAGAUCCUGUUUUUAAGUAUCACAGUUAGCAUAGUUAAAUAUGAUGACUUGGUCAUACAUGAUCUUGUACAGCCUCUCUUUCUGUCAAAGGUAUCCCCAUUUUUUUUGCCAUGCUACUUUCUGUAUCAU
Molecule: long non-coding RNA, 1238 nt
Organism: Triticum dicoccoides
Lineage: Eukaryota; Viridiplantae; Streptophyta; Magnoliopsida; Poales; Poaceae
Exons: 3
Source: RefSeq, a predicted model, not a curated record